GGCUGGCCCGAAGCUAGUGAGAUCUCACAAUGAUUGCUUACAGUCAAUUACUGGUCAACCUAAUUGUCUACCCCACCUCACCACUACACUUGACUGGUCUUUA
This 103-nucleotide Y RNA is filed under the name Echinops telfairi (small Madagascar hedgehog). RNAcentral's name for it is "Y RNA (ENSETEG00000020763.1)". It matches the Rfam family "Y RNA". From Rfam's summary of the family: Y RNAs are components of the Ro ribonucleoprotein particle (Ro RNP), in association with Ro60 and La proteins. Lineage: Eukaryota; Metazoa; Chordata; Mammalia; Afrosoricida; Tenrecidae. The record is from RNAcentral.